This 156-nucleotide ribosomal RNA is filed under the name Triticum aestivum (bread wheat). RNAcentral's name for it is "partial small subunit ribosomal RNA". Lineage: Eukaryota; Viridiplantae; Streptophyta; Magnoliopsida; Poales; Poaceae. The record is from RNAcentral.
AUGCCGGUUCUGCCCAACGUGAAGCCGGGAUACCUGCAGGACGAGCUUAGCGCGUCCCCGCCGACCCACUCCGCAUCAUUCGAUGUCACCAUGAAGGAGCUCAGGACCUCCGUUGUCCCCGGCAUGACACACUGGGCUAGCCCCAAUUUCUUCGCC